RNAcentral lists this ribosomal RNA (241 nucleotides) under uncultured bacterium. Its description in RNAcentral is "partial 16S ribosomal RNA". It matches the Rfam family "Bacterial small subunit ribosomal RNA", at positions 15 to 248 of the family's 1533-position model. The record is from RNAcentral.
GAUCUUGGCUCGGGAUGAACGCUAGCUACAGGCUUAACACAUGCAAGUCGAGGGGCAGCAUGAACUUAGCUUGCUAAGUUUGAUGGCGACCGGCGCACGGGUGAGUAACACGUAUCCAACCUGCCGAUGACUCGGGGAUAGCCUUUCGAAAGAAAGAUUAAUACCCGAUGGCAUAGUUCUUCCGCAUGGUAGAACUAUUAAAGAAUUUCGGUCAUCGAUGGGGAUGCGUUCCAUUAGGUUG